CCGCGGUAAUACGUAGGUGGCAAGCGUUAUCAGGAAUUAUUGGGCGUAAAGCGCACGUAGGUGGCUGAAUAAGUCGGAUGUGAAAGCCCUGGGCUCAACCUGGGAAUUGCAUUCGAUACUGUUCGGCUAGAGUACGGUAGAGGGUAGUGGAAUUCCCGGUGUAGCAGUGAAAUGCGUAGAGAUCGGGAGGAACAUCCGUGGCGAAGGCGACUACCUGGACCAGCACUGACACUGAGGCACGAAAGCGUGGGGAGCAAACAGG
RNAcentral lists this ribosomal RNA (262 nucleotides) under uncultured bacterium. RNAcentral's name for it is "partial 16S ribosomal RNA". It matches the Rfam family "Bacterial small subunit ribosomal RNA", at positions 515 to 776 of the family's 1533-position model. The record is from RNAcentral.